RNAcentral lists this ribosomal RNA (426 nucleotides) under uncultured bacterium. RNAcentral's name for it is "bacterial SSU rRNA". It matches the Rfam family "Bacterial small subunit ribosomal RNA", at positions 354 to 796 of the family's 1533-position model. The record is from RNAcentral.
GUGGGGAAUCUUGCGCAAUGGGCGAAAGCCUGACGCAGCAACGCCGCGUGGGGGAUGAAGGCUCUCGGGUUGUAAACCCCUUUCAGCAGGGACGAAUCAAGACGGUACCUGCAGAAGAAGCCCCGGCUAACUACGUGCCAGCAGCCGCGGUAACACGUAGGGGGCAAGCGUUGUCCGGAUUUAUUGGGCGUAAAGAGCUCGUAGGUGGCUGAGUAAGUCGGAUGUCAAAUCCCCAGGCUCAACCUGGGAUCCCAUCCGAUACUGCUCUGGCUAGAGUCCGGUAGGGGAGCGUGGAAUUCCUGGUGUAGCGGUGAAAUCCGCAGAUAUCAGGAGGAACACCAGCGGCGAAGGCGGCGCUCUGGGCCGGUACUGACACUGAGGAGCGAAAGCGUGGGUAGCAAACAGGAUUAGAUACCCGGGUAGUCC